Molecule: RNA transcript, 1480 nt
Organism: Pan troglodytes (chimpanzee)
Lineage: Eukaryota; Metazoa; Chordata; Mammalia; Primates; Hominidae
Gene name: RNA polymerase-associated protein LEO1-like
Exons: 9
Source: RefSeq, a predicted model, not a curated record
GGACCAAGAACUAACUGUGUAAAGAACUUUAGUUGGAAAAAUUAAUACUGUGCAUUUCCCCCCAACACCGAAGAUCCUAGUGGGACCAUGGAUCUGUUUGGAGAUAUAGACGACGUUUCUUCUGAGAGUGAUGAGGGCAAUCAACCACCUAUUCCAGGACAGCUGAUUGAUGAACAUGGAGUGCCUCAGGACCAGCAGGAGGAAGAGCCAAUUUCUGAAACCAUAAUAGAAGAAGAAAUUCCCAGUAUCAACUCUGAUUUAGGAAAUGAAUUGUAUUUUGUUAAACUACCCAAGUUUCUCAGUAUAGAACCCAAACCUUUUGAUCCUCAGUUUUAUGAAGAUGAAUUUGAAGAUGAGAAAGUGCUUGACGAGGAAGACAGAAUCAGGUUAAAAUUAAAGGUAGAAAAUACUAUAAGAUGGAGGAUACGCCGGGAUAAAGAAGGAAAUAAAAUUAAAGAAAGCAAUGCUCGGAUGGUCAAGUGGUCAGACAGAAGCAUGUCCCUGCAUUUAGGCAAUGAAGUGUUUGAUGUGUACAAAGCCCCGCUGCUGGGCAAUUACAACCACCUGUUUAUAAGAGAAGACACUGGUCUACAGGGACAAGCCGUCUUUAAAUCCAAACUUACCUUUAGACCUCACUCUAGAGACAGUGCCACAUACAGAAAGAUGACCCUGCCACUUGCUAAUAGAAGUUCAAAGACACAGAAAAUUAGAAUCUUACCAAUGGCGGGUCGUGAUCCUGAAGGCCAACACACAGAAGUGAUGAAGAAGAAAGAAGAACGCUUGAGGGCUUCCACUCAACGGGAGUCUCAGGGAAUCCAUCUGCGGGAGAAGCGCUACCAGGAGUGGCCAAGUGUCUCCUACCAGGACCCUGGCAGUGACAGUGCGGAGGAGGAAGGCAAGGACACCAUCAGCCUGGCUGCUAUUAAAAACUAUUAUCAAGGUGAACUCCAAGAAAUGCAGGCAAAGUGUCUACCAAAACAGGCUUCACAAAAAAGCACAACUGCUGAAGCCUUGCAAAGGUCAGCGCCCCUGCCGUGACGUUUAUAGACAUUCACUGUACAGCUCCUGGAGGGACAGCUGCUGGAAUCACCUGCCUCCUGGAGGGAGCUACCCACACAGGAAUAUGAUGCUUCAGAUGUGAACGACAGAGGACCUGAAAUCCUUGAGCCCUUUAAAGAGAUCACUGUGCUCUGAUGCAUGUGUGUGGAGGUCUACGAACACCUAUAAUAGGUAAACUUUUAUGGAUACAUUUUCUGGGGAAAACAUUACUUUUUUGUGGUCAUUCAAGUCAAAGACCACAAAAGGCUCACAAACUAAUGAAUGAGCACGAAAGAGUAAGAGCAAUUGACAUGGAAAGACUGACCGGGUUCAAAAUGGACUACUAUCUGGCUUUUUUCCUUCCUGCCUUCCUCUAGAUUUUAGCAGCAAAACUCAUCUUGAGACAGGGUGCACUGAUUAUCCAAUAAAUUCCAUCUAAGAG